UGUGGACACCGUGGGAGGUUGG
RNAcentral lists this microRNA (22 nucleotides) under Mus musculus (house mouse). RNAcentral's name for it is "mmu-miR-3093-3p". Lineage: Eukaryota; Metazoa; Chordata; Mammalia; Rodentia; Muridae. The record is from miRBase by way of RNAcentral.